Molecule: long non-coding RNA, 1147 nt
Organism: Monomorium pharaonis (pharaoh ant)
Lineage: Eukaryota; Metazoa; Arthropoda; Insecta; Hymenoptera; Formicidae
Exons: 2
Source: RefSeq, a predicted model, not a curated record
ACCACAUACACUUACAAAUUCACUGUUUGCCGCGCACAUAUACACGUAUAUGUACGCGUAUAUAUACACACGAUUGUGGAAGACACCUGUGUGUAGAAGGAAAAAAAAAACGAUAAUGAUCGGCCGCGGUCGAAGGAUGAGAAAUCGAUGCCGCGAAGGACGGCGCCUUACCCCCCGUGACGAUCGGUUGACGAUCGAGAUUACGACAGUUAUUGCAGCUGUAAAUGAAAAGGAAGGAAAGGGAAAGGGUUCGCGCGGGCAUCUCUAUUGCUUUUAAUUAAUUUGGCUCGCGUAUAUAAUCGAUAGAACCGAAACCCGCGUUAUCUCGAUCUAUUGGUUUCCACGCGCUCCCUCGCGAUUAGCGAGUCGUCAACGCCGAUGAUCUGUAAUCGAUCGGCGCUCUCGGUCAUUUUUUUUUUUUCCUCUACCUUUCCGAAGACGUGGGCGAAAGGAGAUCGUUGCGAAAAGCCCUCGCGCGGGACGUGGGAAUCGCGGCGAAUCGUACCGCGCCCCGCAGUCUUUCCUCGCUGGCUCGUGCCGAUUUAGCGGCGCGAUUUAACGGUGCCGGCUCGUUAGCCGGCUCACGGCUCGUGCGCAACAACGGCGCGAACAGCAACGAGCCGCGGGAAGAAGAAGUAACGGCCUUUGAAUUGCGCGGCAGUGCUAGGCACCGGAGGAGCCCAAUGCAGUGAAAGCGCAAUGCGGCGCGUGAACCUCUAGGCAGCUACAAAAGAAAAAGUCAAAAGUCAUCGGCACCCGGGAGAGAGGGAGAGAUUUCUGUAUCGUCCAAGAAAUCACAGAGACUUCGCAAGAAGAAAGACGAGCGUUCGACUGUUUCAAUGGCGAGUAACCCACUGGUCCAGCAGCCAAUCGACGCGUCGAUAGAAAUUGAACACUGAUCAUAAAACGCCGCUCGGACAACGUGAUCGCAUCAACGGGGAAUGAGUGUCAUUGCGAAACGUCACGGGUAUAAUAGCCGAGAUAAUUGGUCGAGCCGGAGUACGGUGCCUUAAACGAUGCCUGAUGAACGAGACACGUCGUCGGUGAAAUGAUAGAAUGUCAACAGACGUCUCGUCGUCGCCGAGAGAUUCACCGUGAAUCAACAACACACUCACGUGAAACACCUUGCCCGCGAUAACGAUCGUCG